This is a long non-coding RNA of Acanthochromis polyacanthus (spiny chromis), 1686 nucleotides long. RefSeq lists it as uncharacterized. The transcript has 2 exons. Lineage: Eukaryota; Metazoa; Chordata; Actinopteri; Pomacentridae. The record is from RefSeq and is a predicted model, not a curated record.
GUUUCAGUGUCUGCUGGUAGAAUCAGCCGAAGGUAGCAAAAUGGUUAAAACAAGCCAACAGGCAGGAAAAGUGUCUGUGGAAAAGGUUCUGCUUCUUCACCGACAAACCACCAGUGACCAUAUCAGAAUUAAUCCUCCAGACUGUCAGUCAUUCCAGACGAACUGUCAAUCAGGUAACCACGCCCCCUUGCGUCGCAAAACUUAAUAAAUAAAAAAAUCGAUAUUGAUUUAUUUUAAGAUCGGCCACUUCAUCUUUCAUUUUGAUCAUGAAAACAAACAACAAAAAAAAACAUUUAUUUACAGUCUAUGCACCGUACUCUGUUUGGCUCCACCCUUGCAGAUGACCACUUCCGGUCUCAGAAAACGAUAAAACGGACCUUUUUUCGUUUCUGUCUCUUACUUAUUUUAUUUUUUGUUAUCGUAAAUAAAAAAUGAAAAUCAAAGCAUUUUUUAAAAUUCGUAUAUCCCUUUUUGAUCGUGAAAAGGAAAAACGCCUUGUAUUUCAAUUUUGAUUUUUGCCUUUGAAAACGAAAAUCAAAUAACCACUCGUUUUUUGUUUUUCAAUACCUGCUUUAGAACGGAAAAUCCAAUUACCAAAAUAUACACGGACCGUUCAGCGUGCCGUGGGUGCUUCUGUGACGACAGGUUUAUUUGCUGCUGCUGUCGUUGGAUCUCCUCCUCCUGCAUUGCUUCUACGCUGCGCCACAGCUAACCGGGUUGCAGCUAAACGUGUGGUUCAUUGGACGUCAUCGUUCCCUGGAUUGGCUGCUGUUUCGGCUGUUUCGGUUCUUUCUUUCUUUUCGCCGGCUCUUGGUUGCGGCUCUUGUUCUCGGUCUGUUUGCCGGCUCUGUGAUUGGUGCCGACAACUUGCUGUGUUUGACUGUGUUGGUUUGGUGAGCCUCGGCGGCAGUUUAAUCCCUGGUGGUGGUUCACGGAUCCCCUUUUUGUUGGUGUGUUGUCACAGGUGUGAUUAUUUGGACCCCCUUUUUCUUUUUGGUUAUUUGUUUGCCUGCCGCCAUGGUAAGCCAGCCUGCUCCCUUUAUUGUUUAAGUUUAGUACUCCUGAUUCUCUCUUUUAAACUGGUGGCUUGCUUUUUAUAUUUAAUGCCAUAAUUAAUCAAGAAAUUGUUGUAUUUUUGGAAACACGUCUCAGCCCAAGUGAUUAUGAACCUGUGUGCCUUCAGUGUUUAAAUGGUCCUUGGUUGAUCAUGUUGAAUUGAAUGUCCCGGGGGUGAAAUUCCCCUGGGUGGCGUUGUCGCAAUAUUUAUGUGAAUCCUAGCCAUUUCUCCCCAUUCUCCAUGCCCCUUCCCUUAGAGCUCCCCCUCGCCACGCCACAUUCGCACUUUGUUUGUUUUGCCCAGGGGUGACCGGUAGACAUGUUUUCGUGUUUUGCUUUAAUGGGUUUAGUUGGGGUUAUUUUUCCUUAGUUUGGACGUGGAAACCGCUCCUACGACUGCGUAGCAGUUGGCCGGGGACCACGUCCUUUUGUUAUGUUUGGCUGGCGCUCCUGGGCCAACUUUUGUUUGAACUUUGAGUUUUCUUUUUGUUUUGGGGCACGGGUGGUUAAGGGAUCUUUUGUUCUUUCGUUUCUGAUAGUUGAAGUUAUUUAAUUUGUUAACAAACCAUCUCUUUUCACAACGAAGAAGCAGUUUAAACCUAAUAAUAAAGUUCUUUAUUUGAUCCCUUA